Molecule: ribosomal RNA, 497 nt
Filed under: uncultured bacterium
Lineage: Bacteria
Description: partial 16S ribosomal RNA
Rfam family: Bacterial small subunit ribosomal RNA
Source: RNAcentral
GAUGAACGCUGGCGGCGUGCCUAAUACAUGCAAGUCGAGCGAACAGAUGAGGAGCUUGCUCCUCUGACGUUAGCGGCGGACGGGUGAGUAACACGUGGAUAACCUACCUAUAAGACUGGGAUAACUUCGGGAAACCGGAGCUAAUACCGGAUAAUAUAUUGAACCGCAUGGUUCAAUAGUGAAAGACGGUUUUGCUGUCACUUAUAGAUGGAUCCGCGCCGCAUUAGCUAGUUGGUAAGGUAACGGCUUACCAAGGCAACGAUGCGUAGCCGACCUGAGAGGGUGAUCGGACACACUGGAACUGAGACACGGUCCAGACUCCUACGGGAGGCAGCAGUAGGGAAUCUUCCGCAAUGGGCGAAAGCCUGACGGAGCAACGCCGCGUGAGUGAUGAAGGUCUUAGGAUCGUAAAACUCUGUUAUUAGGGAAGAACAAAUGUGUAAGUAACUAUGCACGUCUUGACGGUACCUAAUCAGAAAGCCACGGCUAACUACGUG